UUAAUUCUUAAUUUCAAAUUACUUUUCCCAAAUCUGCUCUUUAGUCUUAUGUUUUUUUUUUCACAAUCGAACUUUUAUUCAAACCUUCAAAUGAAGGAUGAGAAACGUACGUAUGAUACAAAGCUCGAGGACACAUGUAAGUCCCUGGAUAUUUAGCCGGCGGAAACGAGAAUUCCCCGGAGCUAAAACACAAACCAAAAGUACAAUAACAUAAGUCAAUUACACACACAAAACCACAAUUAAACAAACGAAAUCUAAUAAUUAACCCCUAGAUAAUUCCUUUGAGAAGCAUCUGAAAACACAAUUACUUCUUUUCCGAAAACUGAAUUUUGUUGUUGAUGAUGGAAAUCGCCAUAACCAUCGGAAAACUCUGAACUACUCUUCCUCUCUUGUUAUUAAAUCGACUUAAGAAAAUAAAACAUCCACUUGCAAACCCAAUUUGAUGAGGCUUCGAUGAUGAAGCUUUGGAACCAUCAAAAACAUGUUGACUGAUAAGCAGAAGUAGACCUUUCAGAUCUUGACCCAAAUCUGAUUGUGAAUUCUUGUUGGAGGAAGCUGAAGGAGCCGCCUAACUGAAACAUCACCCAUCUCAGAGAUGAGAGAUUGGGAUCAAUCGGUUGAAGGCCUUGGGAAGAGAAGCUCAAUCUGAAGGAUUUGAAGACGCAUGAAAGCUAGGGAUCAAAAUUGAUUUCAAGAGUAUGUGGCUUGGACACAUCAUUGACCACCCCAACAUAAACUUUAUUCGGUCAUGAACAACCCAGAGCAAAGCGGCAAGAAUCGCUGACGGCCACGCCGAUCAUCGAGACUAUGGAAGUCAAAUCGAUAUCGGAUACAAGCCAACCAAAUACCAUAAAGGAUUUGGUGAGUGUUGGAAGAACGCCCACUAAACGGGAAUUGAUAACCGGAAAAUAUCCGGACGGUAACAAGUUAGUCGGCCUCUCUCUCAAAAAUUACUGAGAGCUUUUUUCUCUUUAGUCUUAUGUCACCAAGGGUAAAUCCACAACUACUAAAUUCCACAUGAAAUAUUAAUUUUUCUGAGACAAUGAUGUUUAUCUGUCAUUACGUAUUAACAAGCAAUCGGAUCUUUCCUUGUGACAAAAUAUAUCACUUAUGGUGACUGUUACCUAUAAAUCAUCAUGUAUUUUUGAUUAAUGGCGGAUUACAUAAUCAGCGUGCUACGACUUCAAGUACCAAUCUAAGCCAAGUAACAUACACCACCCAUUGGCACAAAUUAAAGAACACCACCACCAUUACACAUCCACUGACCACUAUAUAUAAUUUUUUUAGUUUCAGGAACUAGGAAGAGUCUCUUAACCAGAGAUCAAAGAUUCUCAGAUAAUCAACAAAUCUCAAUUUAACAAUAAUCAAGUUACCAAAAUAUAGUCAACCUAUGACAAUAAACAGUAACACAAGAUUAAGCUUUUAGAGUAAACAAAACUAAGAUUACAAACAUAUAAAAUCCGAGUCGAUGAGCUUUCAGUGACGUUCUACAAACUCUACAAAGCUCAAUUACAUUUCAACAAACAAAAUGUCUAAUACUUCUUCUACUUCCACACUAAUUUCUCUCUCUCUCUCUCGUUCAUCAGGUCUCAACAUUAGCUCUGUUUCCGG
This 1611-nucleotide long non-coding RNA is filed under the name Arabidopsis lyrata. RNAcentral's name for it is "long non-coding RNA (ALYR_LNC002116)". The record is from RNAcentral. Lineage: Eukaryota; Viridiplantae; Streptophyta; Magnoliopsida; Brassicales; Brassicaceae.